Molecule: ribosomal RNA, 253 nt
Filed under: uncultured bacterium
Lineage: Bacteria
Description: partial 16S ribosomal RNA
Rfam family: Bacterial small subunit ribosomal RNA
Source: RNAcentral
UACGGGGGGGGCAAGCGUUGUUCGGAAUUACUGGGCGUAAAGGGCGCGUAGGCGGUUUGCUAAGUUGAAUGUGAAAACUCUGGGCUUAACCCAGAGCCUGCAUUCAAUACUGGCAGGCUAGAGUUCUGGAGGGGAUAGCGGAAUUCCUGGUGUAGCGGUGAAAUGCGUAGAGAUGCGGAGGAACACCGAUGGCGAAGGCAGCCCCCUGGGCUAACACUGACGCUCAGGCACGAAAGCUAGGGGAGCGAACGGG